Molecule: long non-coding RNA, 1451 nt
Filed under: Solanum tuberosum (potato)
Lineage: Eukaryota; Viridiplantae; Streptophyta; Magnoliopsida; Solanales; Solanaceae
Description: long non-coding RNA (STUB_LNC010822)
Source: RNAcentral
CCCUCAAAUGUAAAUAAUAAAAUAUCCAGAAUGUAAAUUAAAGAAAGACAGAGAAGGAGGUAAAUAGGGGAUCAUGUCUAAGUGGUCGCUCCGUCUGUCUUGGCAUUAGUGCCCCAUGUGUCAGCAUGGACUUGGUUAAUAGUCCCCGGAGCUACUUCAGAAGGUUCAGCCUGGACUUGGAUAAUAGUCGCUGACUGCUCCAUUUCAUCGCCAACUUGACCUUUCCCUUCAGGGCUCAGCGCACUGGAACAAAAGGCGAUCUCCAGGCCGAUCGGCGACUUGCCAACUGGGCUCGGCGAUCUUCAGGCCUUCAUUUCUUCGUUCUUUUCAGCCGCCUUGUUCCUUCUAGCAAAGUAGUGUCCAUGUUUUGCCUCAAACUCCAAAUACCUGAAACUUAAGGAUUUUCAUCAGAUAUUGAGACAAAAUAUGCAUUUGAGGACACUAAUUCUAUCAUAAUAUAGCCCUAAAUGAGUCCAAAUUGUGGACUCAUCAACACCUCAUAUAUUGCAUUCAAAGGUCAUAUUGAGUCAAUACAUCUAACAUUCAAUACAAGAAACAUAGAUACAACCAUGACUCAAGUAGUCCAUUCACUUCAUGCAUGAACUCAUGUGAUCUUAUUAUAGGUAAUGUGGGUGAAGUCUAUUCACAUUAGGGCCAUAUACAAUUCAACAUACAUGAUGGAUUCCUUUUUGAAGCCUUAACACCCUUAGUUUAUCCAUUUUAGCUUUCCUUCUUAAAGCCCUUGGAGUCAUCUUCAUGUUACAAGCCUUACUCUCAAGCAAUGCCUCAUAUGAUCAUCAAGUGUACCUAAUUCUCAAGUAACCUAACCACAUGGCUCAUUCUUGACCUAAUCAAGCCAAAUCAUGUUUAGAAGCUUUACCCUAAAUCAAUUCACGUCUAGGUGAUCUAAUCUAAGGCAUUACAUGAAGAAGUUCAUCUUUCUUGGAGGAUCACCUUUAAACCCUCAAUUAACCUCUUUCAUGGCAUAGCCCUAAUCACAUCAAUUCACCUUAGAAAUAUUUGGUUAAUCAAGUAUACAUGUAUAAUCAUACUUAGAUCAUGCAAUUACAUCAUAAUUAACUCGCAUCCAAUCAAUUGGACCAACUUGCAAAAUUAAACCAUCACAUAAUGUAAAGAAGAAUCGUAGCUAGGGUUGGGGGUCUCAUGGAUUCUUGAAGAAUUUCGAGUUAAAAUCAUAUAAAAUCAAUCAUACAUUCAUAAACAAACAUCAUUCAACCUUUAAAAGCAACUUUCAAAGGAAUCCAUGGAGUUGAGUUGAAACCCUAGCUAAUUGAGUUUUCUAUAGAAUUGAGUAAAAAGUUUUUGAAUGGGCUCCUUGGGUGAUAGCUUCCCAAGGAUGAAGAAUUCACAUACCUUAGGUGUAAAAUCCUUCCAAAGUCGUAUUGAAAAGCUCCUUCCUUCAAGCUUUUCUUGAUCUCUUUCUUUGUUCU